AUUACCCCCAUAGUUUUGCCCAACUGCUAACAAAUUUGCUGAUGCGAUCAGAUCUGAGUUACCCCCAUAGCUACUUAACCAGUGGUGUUGGUUUAUUGAAAUAUAACAGGUACAGUGGUACUCACUGUUGUAUACACAUUAGUUCUUAUGAAUCGAAGCUUCAGCGUAGUGGAUUUCUAUACAGCUCACCAGCCGGGGAGUGUAUGCUGCUUGCAGUCAUUUAGAGGACAUUCAGGAUGACCUGAGAAGUGCACCAGUGGAACUCACAUCAUAUUUUUCAGUUGUAAAUGAAAGAACAUCCAUGCUUAGGCAAGCACCAGCCAUCUCCCAAGAAAUGACCUCAACUAAAAAUGCACAACUGUAAAACUUACAGCUUCAUCUCAGGGAUCUUCAUGAAGACAUUGAGACUCACCUGCCAGGGACCACACACAUGGAGCCUUUCCUCACACGAUUACAUGGGUCUCUAUACUGUAUUACAAAGGGCAGGGCCGGAUUAACAAUGGGCCUGAUGGAGCUGCAGCUCCAGGCCCUUCAUCAAAAUAGGCCCACAGCAUUCUGAGGAAUGUUUUUUUACUAGCUACAGUCAGCAUCCUGCCAGCGCAGCCACCGGAGCCCCACUUCCCCUGCCAGCGCAGCCAGUGGAUCACUACUCCCCCUCGCUGCCAGCAUAGCCGUCGGAUCACUCCUUCAGUUCUCCCCCCUCUGACAGCGCAGCCACUGGAGCCCCCCUGCCAGUGCAGCCUUCAGAUCACUCCUCAAGUCCUCUCCUAAUUGCCUGCGCAGUAACCGGAGGUUCACUCAGUCCUUCCCCUGCUGCCAGCACAGCCGCCGGAUCACACUCCUUCAGUCCACCCGCCUCUGACAGCGCAGCCAGCGGAUUACUCCUCCCCCGCUGCCAGCUCAGCCACUGGAGCCCCCCCUCCUUCUGUGGAUCAACAUCAGCACACUGUGUGGCAGCGCAGCGGUAAACUUCUCUUGCACUUCCUGUGCGCUGCUACAUUACUAGUGUCUUAUGGCCUCCUACGGACUUUGUGAACCAACACAGGUGCUACCACACCACCUAAACACAGCUACACGGAGGUAGUCCGGCUCAGGUGAAGUAAUUACUGAUCGGGCUGGCUCCAGGCCCGUGUGGACCUUAAUCUGGCUCUGACAAAGGGUUUAAAGCCUCUAGUGCUGGUCGACAUAUGC
Pseudophryne corroboree (corroboree frog) is the source of this 1191-nucleotide long non-coding RNA. RefSeq lists it as uncharacterized. The record is from RefSeq and is a predicted model, not a curated record. The transcript is spliced from 3 exons. NCBI's taxonomy places the organism in Eukaryota, Metazoa, Chordata, Amphibia, Anura, Myobatrachidae.